Molecule: long non-coding RNA, 684 nt
Organism: Drosophila pseudoobscura
Lineage: Eukaryota; Metazoa; Arthropoda; Insecta; Diptera; Drosophilidae
Exons: 2
Source: RefSeq, a predicted model, not a curated record
GCAGCUAUGCGGUCUGAGUUAUAAGAAUAAAUUCAAUAAAGACAUUCUAAAAACCGAAGUCAAACGGCACAGACGUGCCAGUGUUAUAAUUACAAUAGUGACAUAUUACAUGGCGACCGUGACAAGUGUCACGAACAUGUAGAUGUUCGGAAACAAAAAUAUGUUAAAAUAAAUCAUAUAAAAAAAAAAGCGGAGAGCGAGAGAGAGAGCGGCGAGAGCGGACAACAACAGCAGCACCACAGCAGGCACCACUGGAAGCAGCAGUAACAUCAAAAAAAAUUAACAACGAAAUGGAGCGGAACUGAACGCAAAAUAGCAAAGACCUGCCCGAACGACUGCGAGGGACCUCUACACUCGCCGCAUUGCGAGUACACCUGUGCAGCCUGCACCGGUGCCCCAACAGAGAAGCAGUAGCAGCCUGUGCAGCCAGCACCGGCCUCGUCUAGCGCAACAAGCUGGACCCGGAGCAGUGAACCGACAGCGCUUCCUAGAGCGCCCACCGCCAAACAAAAUUUUUUUUUCUAAAUGCCUGCGAUGCAUACAACUUAACUGUAAGAUCUAAAAUUGUAAAAUUGAGCGGAAUAACAUCUGCCCAAUUAGAGUGAGGCCUGUAAAGCCACACAAACACUAGGCAGAAAGAAAUGUAAAAACUGAAAAAAAAAAUAUAUAUAAAUUAUAAAUUAA